Molecule: long non-coding RNA, 1128 nt
Organism: Esox lucius (northern pike)
Lineage: Eukaryota; Metazoa; Chordata; Actinopteri; Esociformes; Esocidae
Source: Ensembl
GACCAUUUUAAUGUUAAAUUCUAUCCCAUUACUUCCACUUCCUGUUAUACGUUCUUAUUUUACGAAUAAUGAGCGACUGUGCCUGUUGGUAGAUUUAGUUCAUGUUCACCAUGUGAUGCAAUAGUCUAUCGGAAGAGUGGGCGUGUAAAAGAUAGGCGUGGCUCCCUGUUUGGGCGUGUGAGAGAGCAGCCUGUUAUAUUUCGCAUUGGACAGUUCCUACAACCCAUACAGGCUGGCUAAGCUCUCGCACGCUUUUGUUCAAUUAGUAAACUCAGUCUAUCUAGCGUAGCUAUCUGUAAUGUGAGAAAAUAGACAUCAGACAAUAAUAAUUUCGCUCUUCAUGUGGAUUUCUUUUGACGGCGUUUAUUUACUAAAUGCAUGUUGUGGUCAGCCUGUAGUGGCAUUUAGAAUGGAAAAUUAUCUACUUUGUAGUUAGCUAGUUUGUCAUAACGUGCGAAACUAAAACUGAAUAUAUGUGCAAGGUGUCGGACCAGGCAACUGAUAUUUUGGAAGGACAGAUUUGAUCCAAUUUUCAGACAAACUUUCACCAGGUUGAACUUUUGAAAAUCUUCUGUUACUCUUCACUAGACAGGUGUUAAACCUUUCGCGUUUGUGUGGAAUCUUUUUUUUUUUAAUUUUCCCUCAGCAGAAGUCUUAUGGAGAGGCUUUUCAAACUGGGUGUUUUUAUCCUCAAGCGACUCUGGAUAUACGUACUGUGAGAUCGUAUAGCCGCUUACCCCCAGAGGCCACGUUGAAUGUUGACUUUACAAGAAUAGUCAAAAACGCCUAACUUCACCAUUAUUUGAAUGCCUUUGCAAGGAUUUUGCUGGUUUCUGUGCUGCAGAAAGGGUUUCAAUUUACUCGGACGGGACUAUGGGGAGAAAGAGGAGGAAGAAUCUUUUGAGUUGCGCAACAAGGAGGAUCUGACUUGCAACGGACGGGGUCCACUUGAGGUUACUCUCUCUCAGCCACCUCGUACAGCCAAUGGGACCAAUGGGUAGGUGUCUGACUUUGUGUGUUAGUAUGUGCGUGUGUGUGUGUGUGUGUGCUUUUAGGAAGUCAGUGUUCCAGUUUUUCAGUACAUUUACAUCAGUAGUUCCUCUUAGUCUGUUGGCUGGUGCUCUAUGA